Molecule: ribosomal RNA, 153 nt
Filed under: Triticum aestivum (bread wheat)
Lineage: Eukaryota; Viridiplantae; Streptophyta; Magnoliopsida; Poales; Poaceae
Description: partial small subunit ribosomal RNA
Source: RNAcentral
AUGUUGAAGUCCUGAUGGAUUUGGAAGCAUUACAAUGCGGACAUCUUCAAAGGCGCACGCCCAAACAUCGCCAGCCUCCUCGACACGGUCAAGGUGAGGGCUAGGUUGUGGGUGCAGGCGGACGCUACGGGGCUCGCAGAUCUACCGCCUUAA